This 704-nucleotide ribosomal RNA is filed under the name Salmonella enterica subsp. enterica serovar Weltevreden. RNAcentral's name for it is "bacterial LSU rRNA". It matches the Rfam family "Bacterial large subunit ribosomal RNA", at positions 657 to 1241 of the family's 2925-position model. The record is from RNAcentral. Lineage: Bacteria; Pseudomonadati; Pseudomonadota; Gammaproteobacteria; Enterobacterales; Enterobacteriaceae.
AUAGGGGAGCCGGAGGGAAACCGAGUCUUAACCGGGCGUUAAGUUGCAGGGUAUAGACCCGAAACCCGGUGAUCUAGCCAUGGGCAGGUUGAAGGUUGGGUAACACUAACUGGAGGACCGAACCGACUAAUGUUGAAAAAUUAGCGGAUGACCUGUGGCUGGGGGUGAAAGGCCAAUCAAACCGGGAGAUAGCUGGUUCUCCCCGAAAGCUAUUUAGGUAGCGCCUCGUGAAUUCAUCUCCGGGGGUAGAGCACUGUUUCGGCUAGGGGGCCAUCCCGGCUUACCAACCCGAUGCAAACUGCGAAUACCGGAGAAUGUUAUCACGGGAGACACACGGCGGGUGCUAACGUCCGUCGUGAAGAGGGAAACAACCCAGACCGCCAGCUAAGGUCCCAAAGUCAUGGUUAAGUGGGAAACGAUGUGGGAAGGCCCAGACAGCCAGGAUGUUGGCUUAGAAGCAGCCAUCAUUUAAAGANGAAGGCCCAGACAGCCAGGAUGUUGGCUUAGAAGCAGCCAUCAUUUAAAGAAAGCGUAAUAGCUCACUGGUCGAGUCGGCCUGCGCGGAAGAUGUAACGGGGCUAAACCAUGCACCGAAGCUGCGGCAGCGAACGUAUCACCCAAGACAACUUUACGGAGUUGACGAUUGACGGAGCGAAGCGACGUCAAAGCGUUCAUUAAAGUCGAGUUGGCUUAGGGAUACGUUC